Molecule: microRNA, 21 nt
Filed under: Citrus sinensis (sweet orange)
Lineage: Eukaryota; Viridiplantae; Streptophyta; Magnoliopsida; Sapindales; Rutaceae
Description: csi-miR156h-5p
Gene: csi-miR156h-5p
Source: miRBase by way of RNAcentral
ACAGAAGAUAGAGAACACAUA